GGGUCAGUAGGUUGGUCGUGCCACCGGUACGUACUGGUCUCACUGAUUCCUCCUUCCUGAAGAACCGUAAUGCCAUUAAUUUGGUGUUGCGGGGAAACAGGACUAUUGCUUUGAAAAAAUUAGAGUGUUUAAAGCAAGCUAACGCUUGAAUACAUUAGCAUGGAAUAAUGAAAUAGGACGAUCGAUCCUAUUUUGUUGGUUUCUAGGAUUGACGUA
Molecule: ribosomal RNA, 216 nt
Filed under: Glomeromycotina sp.
Lineage: Eukaryota; Fungi; Glomeromycota
Description: partial small subunit ribosomal RNA
Rfam family: Eukaryotic small subunit ribosomal RNA (bases 40-216)
Source: RNAcentral